Molecule: ribosomal RNA, 799 nt
Filed under: Peribacillus psychrosaccharolyticus
Lineage: Bacteria; Bacillati; Bacillota; Bacilli; Caryophanales; Bacillaceae
Description: bacterial SSU rRNA
Rfam family: Bacterial small subunit ribosomal RNA
Source: RNAcentral
AUGCAAGUCGAGCGAAUUGUUGAGUUUACUCAACAGUUAGCGGCGGACGGGUGAGUAACACGUGGGCAACCUGCCUAUAAGACUGGGAUAACUUCGGGAAACCGGAGCUAAUACCGGAUAUGUUCUUUUCUCGCAUGAGAGAAGAUGGAAAGACGGCGUCUCGCUGUCACUUAUAGAUGGGCCCGCGGCCCAUUAGCUAGUUGGUGAGGUAAUGGCUCACCAAGGCAACGAUGCGUAGCCAACCUGAGAGGGUGAUCGGCCACACUGGGACUGAGACACGGCCCAGACUCCUACGGGAGGCAGCAGUAGGGAAUCUUCCGCAAUGGACGAAAGUCUGACGGAGCAACGCCGCGUGAACGAUGAAGGCUUUCGGGUCGUAAAGUUCGGUUGUUAGGGAAGAACAAGUACCAGAGUAACUGCUGGUACCUUGACGGUACCUAACCAGAAAGCCACGGCUAACUACGUGCCAGCAGCCGCGGUAAUACGUAGGUGGCAAGCGUUAUCCGGAAUUAUUGGGCGUAAAGCGCGCGCAGGUGGUUCCUUAAGUCUGAUGUGAAAGCCCCCGGCUCAACCGGGGAGGGUCAUUGGAAACUGGGGAACUUGAUUGUAGAAGAGGAAAGUGGAAUUCCACGUGUAGCGGUGAAAUGCGUAGAGAUGUGGAGGAACACCAGUGGCGAAGGCAACUUUCUGGUCUAUAACUGACACUGAGGCGCGAAAGCGUGGGGGAGCAAACAGGGAUUAGAUACCCCUGGUAGUCCCACGCCGUAAAACGAUGAGUGCUAAGUGUUAGAGGGUUUCC